This 391-nucleotide long non-coding RNA is filed under the name Rosa chinensis. RNAcentral describes it as "sRNA RchiOBHm_Chr4g0413721". Lineage: Eukaryota; Viridiplantae; Streptophyta; Magnoliopsida; Rosales; Rosaceae. The record is from RNAcentral.
UCCCUCUCUCUAGCGGUCUCAGCCGCUUUUCUCUCACGUCUUAGACUCUCAGCCCUCUCUCACCCUUUUCUCUCGCACUCUCUUCUAGUCUUCUAUCUCACGCUGUCAACAUGAGGUCUACUGCGUCCACUACGUCAUCCACCGCAGCCUCUCGUAUCCAAAGAGAAUUAAUAACACCUUUGCCAAGAAAUAUAUAGGCGAUGGUGAUGUUAACCUACAAAUUCCAAAUGGGAGCACUUGGCCAUAUCAAAUGAUUUAUUGUUUAUUAUAGUCUGCAAAUUUGGGCUAAUAAGCUCAGAAAAUAAUAAUCGGCAAAUCUAAGCUAUUAAGCUAAGAAAAUACCAAUUCAUGAAUCUCACGAGUUAGUUCAUGAAUUUCACUUUGGAACAAA